Acanthosepion pharaonis is the source of this 113-nucleotide non-coding RNA. Lineage: Eukaryota; Metazoa; Mollusca; Cephalopoda; Sepiida; Sepiidae. The record is from the annotation of a GenBank genome assembly.
UACGACCACAUCUCGUUGAAACAUCGGUCCCCAUACCAUCGCCGAAGUUAAGCAAUAUCUAGCCUGGCCAGUAGCUAGAUGGGUGACUGUUUGGGAAUACGAGGUAUUGUCAG